CCGGGCUGGAGGAAGAGGGGCGGCGGCGUUGCUAGGAUACGGGGAGCGGCCGCCAUGACAGCGCCCCGCCGCCAUGACAGCGCCGCCAUGACGGCGCCGAGGCCGGGGCCGGCGGAGCCCCUGGCCGGGAGCGAGCCGGGCCGAGGCGGGUGUUUCUCACCUUUAUUUCAUGGAAACACGCAACCCCCCCAGCACAUCAUUUUGGGACGGGAUGCAGAACGGGCUUGUGUCUCUGACUUGAAGACCUGGCAGUGAGGAGGAGGAGGAUGGCGGUGAUGCUGAAGCCCACCCAGAGCUCCUCACCUUCUGGCAGGUCUCCAGGAACUCCUCGAAGGUCACCACGCCGUCGCCGUUCCUGUCCAUCUUCUGCAAGGGAAGAGCAGGGGCUCAGCGGGGGCGUCCCCAGCGGCAGUGACAGCCCCCAGCCUGUGAUACACGGGGGGUUUUGGCGGCUGCCAGGAGGGGACGAGGCGGGACGGUCUCACCUGGAAGAACAGCUCCACAUGCUCGGCGGGCGCGCUGUCCCUCAGGGUGGGGUGGGUGCAGCGCCCCAUCAUGUCGUAGAUGGACUUCAUGAUCUCCAGCAUUUCCUAGGAGGGGACAGAGGGGGGGGCUCAGGGUGACAAGAACCCUCUGAAUGAGGGCACCUUUGUCCCCCCGCACCUCUUUCCACCGUCCCUGUCCCUCUCUGGGUGUCCCCCGCCAUGCUCCCACCCUGCCCCGCCUCCCCCAGCCCUCGUGUGUCUCCCCUGUCCCCGUGUCACCUCCUUAGUGAUGUAGCCGUCUUUAUUAAUAUCGUAGAGGUUGAAAGCCCACUUCAGCUUCUGGUGCACUGUCCCCCGCAGCAAGAUGGAGAGGCCGACGACAAAAUCCUGCCAAAGGAACCACGGCUGUGAGCGGAGAUGUCCCAUGGGUACCGCCGUCUCACCCAGACCCCAGGGACGGACCCGUGUCCCCGCUGGCUCGGCCGUUUGCCCCCCUCCAAUGGUGCCGCAGCGCUGCCAUCGAUCGCGGGAUGCCCAGGGGAUUUUUUUUCCUAUUGAUCCCGUUUCUAUUCUCGCUUGUAGCUAUUUUUAAUCACCACGGUAAAACCGGCACCGGCCCCCCCACCAGCCACCCCUGCCGCAGUGCCUGGAACUCUCCCGGCACAGGCUCCUGCCGUCGAGGAGACCGAAGAUUUUGGCCGUCGCUGCUGUGCUGAGCUUUUAUCCCCGACCGCACGCGGGUGAGGAAGAUCUGAUGAAUCACGCCGCUGGGCACGCUUACAGCCGGCCGCGGCUCGAGGAGCACGGCGCUGGCACGGCUUUUCCCGGCGAGAAGCCGGGCACGGAGGCGGUGCUGGGACGCUCACCUGGAAGCAGAGAGCCCCAUUACGGUCAGCGUCGAAGGCGUCAAAUAAGAAGUGCGCGUAGGUGCUGGCGUCUGCGAGGGGAGGAAGGCAAGAGCCAGUGAAGCCCCCACCCCGGCACGCACCGGGAUCGGGAUUUGGCGUUUUCUCCGGAUGCAGCCCCCCCACCGGCACCCCCACGCUGGCCUUGGGGGUCCCCCCGACUCACCGCCUUGGGGGAAGAACUGCGAGUAGAUGAGCUUGAAGGUCUCCUCGUCCACGAGGCCGCUGGGACACUCCUGGGGAGGAGACCGGGCGCCCGGUGAACCCCGGCUCCACCAAAAUCCACCCCCCGGCCCUGGCGGUGGGGGGCCGGGGCGAGGGUCCCCCCAAGACUCACAUUCUUGAAGCCGCGGUAGAGGGACUGCAGCUCCUUCUUGGUGAACUUGGUCUGCGCCAGCAGCUGCUCCAGCCCCUCGGGUUGGUGCCGUACAGACGAAAGCUCCAACUCGGCAUCGCCGCCGUCUGCUGGGAGACGCCGGCAAAGACCCCCGUGGGGGUCCAGCAGCCUCUCCGCAUCAUCCUACGCUCGAUCCCGGGCUGUUUCCCGCCCGGAUCUGACCCUGCUUAAAACCAACGCCCCCCCAACCCGAUGGCGGACCCCAAAUUCCCCUCGUGCCUGGAGGAAAACUGGGGAACUCUGGGUUUCACAUCCCGAGGGAGAAGACCGCCGACUCAGAGGGUUUCCCCAGGAGCUGCCGAACCCGUGCCCGCCUCCGGCAGCACUUUCCCAGGGCGCAGAACAUCCUGGAGCCGCCUCUCACCCCGACCCCGCUAAUGCUCCCUCCCGCCCGCGCCUGCCCUGGCGGAAGGUAAUUAAUAAAUGAUGGUUCAUUAAUAAUUCCAGCUUGGGAAGCCCCCGCGGACCCGUUCAGCGCCGAGACGGGGAUAUCGGGAACUUCAGGCUGGGAAAACCGGGCCACGGCUGGGGAGAGGCUCCGCCGGGGGUUACGGACGCGGGGUUACCUUCCACGGAGAUGGGCUCCAGGAUGCCAAACUGCUUGAGGACAGCGAUGAAGAGGAGGAUGACCACGGCCACGGCGCACAGCUCCAUGCCCUGGAU
Molecule: long non-coding RNA, 2450 nt
Organism: Harpia harpyja (harpy eagle)
Lineage: Eukaryota; Metazoa; Chordata; Aves; Accipitriformes; Accipitridae
Exons: 3
Source: RefSeq, a predicted model, not a curated record